CCGCGCGUCGCCCUAACGAGAGGACAUGUUUGUGACCUAGUGAGUGUCCGUGUACAUAGUGGCGUCGCGGGUGUCGUGUGGCGGUCAUCGUGAGGGCUGAGGCGGCCGCGUCACUACAACGAAGCGACGGUUUCGAGAGGACACCAUGACGCACUGACGAACGAAACUUAAUUCUCGUAUCAUUAAUUACUCAACACACAGCAGGGGAGAAAGAAAAUCAAAAUAAAUUCAACAAAAGAGCCAGAUGUGAGUACAGCGAAGGCCAGAGGGACCCGCUCUUGACCCUCAGCAGAGAAAUGUUCACGUGGACCGGCUCGGUGACACACAUCCGGGGUGGGUGAACACUUCCUACCACUGCGGAAGAGAAUCGAGAUACCUUACCUAACGCUGCUCAUGCACAGACCAAAAAACAACAACAAAGGGACAACAACAACAACAACAACAACAUCAACAGCAUCAUCAUCAUCAUCAUCAACAACAACAAGACAAAAGAAUGAGAGGACAGAAGAGAGAUCAUGUAUACAGGCAAAGAGGUCUACAAUAUGGCUUCAUCGAUCCUUUAUUUUGAUACGUACAAAAUUAGACGUGAAGUGUCAUAUCAUAUAUACCCAAAAAACUGUUGCGUGUUGGGUAGUGAGUUCCGGGCUUGUGAAUUCUUACUUUUCACCGCAAUUGCUGGCAUCCUGUUAUGACCGUACGUAUUGACGGUGGUGAUUGUCCCACACUCGCCCUUCUAUUGCUUCCUGACUACCCUGGACCCAUUACCUCCCUGCCUCCCCCUCCCAGCACCGCCCUCCAUCCCAUCACCGUCCCCCCUCCCAACAGUACCUUGCCUGACUACCCUGGACCUAUUACCUCCCUGCCUCCCCCUCCCAGCACCGCCCUCCAUCCCAUCACCGUCCCCCCUCCCAACAGUACCUUGCCUGA
Molecule: long non-coding RNA, 927 nt
Organism: Eriocheir sinensis (Chinese mitten crab)
Lineage: Eukaryota; Metazoa; Arthropoda; Malacostraca; Decapoda; Varunidae
Exons: 3
Source: RefSeq, a predicted model, not a curated record